RNAcentral lists this microRNA precursor (120 nucleotides) under Tursiops truncatus (common bottlenose dolphin). Its description in RNAcentral is "microRNA 590 (ENSTTRG00000022746.1)". The stretch from base 12 to 97 matches the Rfam family "mir-590 microRNA precursor family". Lineage: Eukaryota; Metazoa; Chordata; Mammalia; Artiodactyla; Delphinidae. The record is from RNAcentral.
AAAAGUCCUAUAGCCAAUCAGAAAUGAGCUUAUUCAUAAAAGUACAGUAUAAUCCAGUAAACCUGUAAUUUUAUGUAUAAGCUAGUCUCUGAUUGAAAAAUGCAACAGAUGUCAUCUCAA